GACGAACCAAGCAAACGUUGUUCGGAAUCACUGGGCUUAAAGGGCGCGUAGGCGGUCUCUCAAGUCCAGGGUGAAAUCUUUCGGCUUAACCGGAAAAUUGCCUUGGAUACUGUGGGGCUAGAGGGAGGUAGGGGUCACGGGAACAUCCGGUGGAGCGGUGAAAUGCGUUGAUAUCGGAUGGAACGCCGGUGGCGAAAGCGCGUGACUGGACCUUUUCUGACGCUGAGGCGCGAAAGCCAGGGUAGCGAACGGG
Molecule: ribosomal RNA, 253 nt
Filed under: uncultured bacterium
Lineage: Bacteria
Description: partial 16S ribosomal RNA
Rfam family: Bacterial small subunit ribosomal RNA
Source: RNAcentral